GCUGGGGAUAUAGCUCAGUUGGUAGAGUGCUUGCCUCAGAUGCACAAGGCCCAGGGUUCAAUCCCCAGCACCACAGCA
This 78-nucleotide transfer RNA is filed under the name Marmota monax (woodchuck). RNAcentral describes it as "tRNA.Leu". Lineage: Eukaryota; Metazoa; Chordata; Mammalia; Rodentia; Sciuridae. The record is from RNAcentral.